AGCAGCAGCCACGGGAAUACGGAGGGUGCAAGCGUUAAUCGGAAUUACUGGGCGUAAAGCGCACGCAGGCGGUCUGUCAAGUCAGAUGUGAAAUCCCCGGGCUUAACCUGGGAACUGCAUUUGAAACUGGCAGGCUAGAGUCUUGUAGAGGGGGGUAGAAUUCCAGGUGUAGCGGUGAAAUGCGUAGAGAUCUGGAGGAAUACCGGUGGCGAAGGCGGCCCCCUGGACAAAGACUGACGCUCAGGUGCGAAAGCGUCGGGAGCAAACAGGAUUAGAUACCCGUGUAGUCCCUGUCUCUUAUAC
RNAcentral lists this ribosomal RNA (303 nucleotides) under uncultured bacterium. RNAcentral describes it as "partial 16S ribosomal RNA". It matches the Rfam family "Bacterial small subunit ribosomal RNA", at positions 507 to 807 of the family's 1533-position model. The record is from RNAcentral.